This 253-nucleotide ribosomal RNA is filed under the name uncultured bacterium. RNAcentral's name for it is "partial 16S ribosomal RNA". It matches the Rfam family "Bacterial small subunit ribosomal RNA", at positions 524 to 776 of the family's 1533-position model. The record is from RNAcentral.
UACGUAGGGGGCAAGCGUUGUCCGGAAUCAUUGGGCGUAAAGAGCGUGUAGGCGGUCCGGUCAGUCGGUUGUGAAAGUCAAGGGCUCAACCCUUGAAUGCCGGCCGAUACUGCCGGGCUAGAGUUCGGGAGAGGCGAGUGGAAUUCCUGGUGUAGCGGUGGAAUGCGCAGAUAUCAGGAGGAACACCUAAGGCGAAGGCAGCUCGCUGGAACGUUACUGACGCUGAGGCGCGAAAGCGUGGGGAGCGAACAGG